GCAUGUAUGGCUGAGUGGUCAAAAGCGGCGGACUCAUAAUCUGUUUUGUCACAGGUUCAAAUCCUGUUACAUGCA
Molecule: transfer RNA, 75 nt
Filed under: Derbesia sp. WEST4838
Lineage: Eukaryota; Viridiplantae; Chlorophyta; Ulvophyceae; Bryopsidales; Derbesiaceae
Description: tRNA-Met
Rfam family: tRNA
About the family: Transfer RNA (tRNA) molecules are approximately 80 nucleotides in length. Their secondary structure includes four short double-helical elements and three loops (D, anti-codon, and T loops). Further hydrogen bonds mediate the characteristic L-shaped molecular structure. tRNAs have two regions of fundamental functional importance: the anti-codon, which is responsible for specific mRNA codon recognition, and the 3' end, to which the tRNAs corresponding amino acid is attached (by aminoacyl-tRNA synthetases). tRNAs cope with the degeneracy of the genetic code in two manners: having more than one tRNA (with a specific anti-codon) for a particular amino acid; and 'wobble' base-pairing, i.e. permitting non-standard base-pairing at the 3rd anti-codon position.
Source: RNAcentral